CUGGUUUGCGUUCUGCUCGCGUUGGUUACAGUGGGCGUUGUCACACUUAUUGGGAGAAGAUGGAACCAACAUAAAAUCUCUCAGCAGCAGCAGGCCAGCAAUUUCGUCUGGUUCACCUCUAAUUCAUCGGCUCUGGAGCUCCACCGUCAAGGUUCUGCAGUGGAGAACAUCUACCAGAUCGAUGCUGGCUGCAGCAACAGUGGUUACGAAGUCGGUCCCUGAGGCCUGAAAGGACGACGAGCUGCAGAUGAAUAACACAA
Scomber japonicus (chub mackerel) is the source of this 260-nucleotide long non-coding RNA. RefSeq lists it as uncharacterized. The transcript has 3 exons. The record is from RefSeq and is a predicted model, not a curated record. Lineage: Eukaryota; Metazoa; Chordata; Actinopteri; Scombriformes; Scombridae.